UCUGUUUAACAAUGAAGUGCCAUCUGUGGUGUGAGACAUCGAGACAUCGUGUUCAAGUGUGAAAGGAGGUCUUCGAAUGGAUGAAAUUUGGUCUCUGAGAGAGGUGGCGGCGGAGGGACAGCAGAUGCAGGGCAGAGGCCCCCAUGCCCCGAGGCUUUCUCUCUGCGUGGGGGCAGGGUGGGGUGGGUGGCAGAUAGAAGGGAGAGGCUUUCUCAGAAGGACCGGCCACCACCCCAGUCCUUUGCUCGAAGCCUUCUCUCCCCUCGCGGCGCAGAGAAGCCAAUCCUCCCUCUGCCCCUGCACACCUUGCCCCCCAGUCUCAAGGCCACACCUGGGCUACUAGUCACCUGGCCCACCCCACUCCUUUACCCUCUGAGGCCUCGAACCCACCUCCCACAGAAAACAGUCCACACCUGCCUGCUCGCCCUUCACCGCUCCUGACACACCCAGCUGGAAUCUACAUUUCCUUAUUCGCACCUUGGAUCUGUCAUGCGGUGAACAGCCGUCUGCAGUUAUUUCAAUUUUGUGUGUUCUCUCCCUGACUAGGAUAUAGAAGGUAGGAUAUAGACUAGGAGGUAGAGAAGCUGUGAUGAGACGUCAGGCUGGAGGCAGAGCCUCAGAGUGCAGACUCGGGGAGGCCAUGCAAACUGCGGCUGCGAGCUCAGGGGCUCACUCAUGUGUCCCCAGUCACUGUCAUGCGGACUGUCAUCGUAUUUGCCAAAAACGCUUCACAAGGGGAGCUAUAAACAGCAGUGUCCACCCAAUAGGGCCCACGCCUUGACCUUGGAGUUGAAUCGUCAGCACCACUUGACCGCUUCUCUCUGUGUCCUUCACCCUUGACCUCUUUGACAGUGUGGUGCCGGGUGUGUGCAGCCUGAGGGAAUCUGUUCCGGGACGUGGUUGAGCUCCAUCUGCCCUGCUAAAUUCAGCCUCCAAGAGCCCAUAUGGCAACGCCGCAGCUUGAGGCCGCCGUACAGCCAGGCUGUGUGUGCGUGUGUGCACACUCUGUGUGUGUGUCCAUGUGCGUGCAUCCGUGUGCUUGUGUGCGUGUGUCUGUGUGCAUGCAUGUGCGUGUGCCCGUGUGCAUGCGUACACUCUGUGUAUGUCCAUAUGCAUGUGUGCGUGUGUCUGUGUGCGUGCGUGCACACUCUGAGUGCAUGUGUACACUGUGUGCGUGUGUGUUGUGUGUGUCCACACCACCACCAAGUGAGCUCAGAUGGAGGACAGAAGAGUUUGAAGGUGUGGCUAAUGUUGAUCUUGAGAGGCGAUGAAAGGGCGGCGCAGGGUGUGGGAGGGACGGGCCCCUAGGUUGCUGUGGUGGAGAGAAUCCCUUGGCCCAGCUUUGCUUUGAUGGAUGGGUCAGCUGAGGUUCUCCUGGUUUAGGCCUCUGGUCAAAAUGCAGCAGCCUGCUGACAGGUCCUUCCCUUGAAUGACAAGUCUGGCUCACCACGGUGCCCAGUCAGAGGCAUCUGCCCCUGUACCCCAGAUCUUUGCAUUUUACCCAGAGCCCUCCAUUCAUGGGCUCUACUGCAGUCUCUGUCUCCCCAGUGCCGGUAAGUUGACCUCAGCCCUCUGUAGGCUCCACGGACGGACAAGGAAGGUCGAGUGCCUUCUCCAGCUCCACCUUGGGCGGCCACCAUGGCUCCUGCAGCCAGUCCACCCAGAAUGUCUCCAGCUGCCACCAUGUACAGAAGAUGGGGGCAAGAACCGCCUGUUAAGAGCUGAAUGUUUUUGUUCCUUCCCUCUUCAGUUCAUUUGUUGAACCCCUAACUCCAAAUGUAAUGGUAUUUGGAGGCGGGGCCUUUGGGAGGUAAUUAGGGUUAGAUGAGGUCACGAGGGUUGUGACGGUGAAUAUUGGGUGACUGCAUUGAGGAAUGCCUAGAUGGCUGGUAAAGUACCCUCCUGGGUGUGUCUGUGAAGAUGUCGCCAGAGGAGAUUGAUAUUGGAGUUGAGGACUGGGAGAGGAAGACGCACCCUCAUUGUGGGUGGGCACCAUCCAGUCGGCUGCCAGGGCAGCUAGAACAAAGCAGGCGGAAGAAGAGGGAUAGCUUUGCUGGCUGAGUCUUCUGGCUCUAUUUUUCCUUCUAGUGCUGGAUGCUUGCUUCCCCACCUCCUGCCCUCGGACAGCAGACUCCAGGUUCUUUGGCCUUUGGACUCUGGGACUUGUACCAGUGACUUCCCAGGGGCUCUCAGGCCUUCAGCUGCAGACUGGAGGGUGCACUGACGGCUUCCCUGGUUUUGAGGCUUUCAGACUCGAACUGAGCCACUACCGGCUUCUCUCUUUCCCUAGCUUUCAGACAGCCUAUCGUGGGACUUGGCCAUGUAAUCGUGUGAGCCAGUUCUCCCUAAUAAACUCCCUUUCGUAUA
Molecule: long non-coding RNA, 2367 nt
Filed under: Homo sapiens (human)
Lineage: Eukaryota; Metazoa; Chordata; Mammalia; Primates; Hominidae
Description: HSALNT0343297
Source: RNAcentral